Molecule: ribosomal RNA, 253 nt
Filed under: uncultured bacterium
Lineage: Bacteria
Description: partial 16S ribosomal RNA
Rfam family: Bacterial small subunit ribosomal RNA
Source: RNAcentral
UACGAAGGUCCCAAGCGUUAUCCGGAUUUAUUGGGUUUAAAGGGUGCGUAGGCGGGCUGUUAAGUCAGUGGUGAAAUCCUGUUGCCUAACAACAGAAUUGCCAUUGAUACUGACGGUCUUGAGUACAGUUGAGGUGGGCGGAAUGUGUCAUGUAGCGGUGAAAUGCUUAGAGAUGACACAGAACACCGAUUGCGAAGGCAGCUCACUAAAGUGUAACUGACGCUGAGGCACGAAAGCGCGGGGAGCAAACAGG